GGACGCCACAAGUGUCCCUGGCCGCCUACACCCACUAUACAUCCACAAACCCGUGUGCACUGUCCUUGGAAAGGGCAUUUGGAGAGAAAAAGAAAGAGAAGCGAGAGCAGUGCGAUCCGUCGCGUUGGGCGUUUUCUCUGACUUGGUCUCUCUGAGGCCCUUUCCUUGCUACAAACUCGAAUGGUUAGUAUGAACGUGGAACUUGGUUGGACCGUCACUGGCCAACAAACUAUACACAACUUUCAACAACGGAUCAA
Molecule: unclassified non-coding RNA, 257 nt
Filed under: uncultured Malassezia
Lineage: Eukaryota; Fungi; Basidiomycota; Malasseziomycetes; Malasseziales; Malasseziaceae
Description: sequence contains 5.8S rRNA gene, ITS2
Source: RNAcentral